RNAcentral lists this long non-coding RNA (9689 nucleotides) under Nicotiana tabacum (common tobacco). Its description in RNAcentral is "long non-coding RNA (NTAB_LNC010796)". Lineage: Eukaryota; Viridiplantae; Streptophyta; Magnoliopsida; Solanales; Solanaceae. The record is from RNAcentral.
UUUAGCUCUAUAACACUGAUGACUGAUCUCUCUUAUUUUGAGUCUUUUUGUAAUAAUUCUUUUUAUUUAUUUAUUUGACUAUAAAAACUAUAACAUGACUAAUUUGCCCUUUCUAAACUUAACGUUAACCUCUGCCAAUGGAGGAUCCGCCGGCUUCGGUGGCGUAAUGGUGUCUGACCGCACCGCUACCGCCGUCUUCCAAUUUUGAGGAUUUUUUGAGAUCGUUGUCGUCUACAAAGAAGAUAUCGCACAGGUAUGCAAACUUCGACUCCUUUGAGUUACGUACUUCGGUUAAUUUGGUACAUCAUUGAUCUACCAUUACUGUUGUGUUAUUAAUGUUUGAGAUUCUAACAGCAACUUUGUCAAGACACCUUUGGGCAUUUUUUAAAUAGAUGCUCCUUAAGACAUUUGAAGAGUUUUACCACUUUGAAUAUAUAUUCAAAUGUGAAAGAACCUUUCCUCAAAUCUCUAUUCUUUCCUAAUGUUCAUAUCAAUUUUAUUGUAGCGGAGUUUUUUUUCAGAAAAAUGCCUAAUUAAUUAAACAGUAAAAAAUUAUAAUAAAAUAAAAUUAAAUAAAUAAAAAGAAUUGUUACAAAAAGACUUCAAAUAAGCGAGGUAAACCUGAGAAAGAUGCCUGAGAGGAGGUCCCCGAAAUUAUCUCUUCUAUUUAAGUUUCGAAAACAUUUUAAAUACUGGGAGAACCAAAUUUGUGAAUGAGUUGUGAAUUUAUGCGUUUUGAGAUUACUACUCUAUGUUUUCCUAUUUCAUAGAGUUGUAUUAAGUUGAUGUUAAUUGCAUAUUAACUUCGAAUGUGACUCGCGAUGAAGUUGACAGCAAGGUGAGUCGCUAUGUAUAUGCCACGGUAUGUUUUUGUUAACUAUUGUUCUAAAUGCUUUGUUCAGAAAUAUUGAAUGUUUCCCAUUCUCUAGAGGGGUGGUAUAUACUAAGUGUUUCCCCAGUUUUGUAGGAGGAUGAUAUUUUCAGUUCAAGUAGGCUGGUUUUUAUUGCUCUCAGGUGUAGAGCUUUCCUUUUACUAGUUUGGACAGUAUAGAUUUUCCCUUUUGAAGAAGGUGGUAUAUGUGAUGUUAAGUUUCAUCAUGGGCACUACUAUAAUGCAUUGUUCAAAAAUCUAUCGAAAGCUCUUGAGGAGCAUCAGAGUGUUCAGAAAACAGGAUAGCGAUGAUGCAAAUCCCAUUCCUUUUGAUUCAGUCUCUCAAGGAUAACAACACCUCCAUUCUUUUUGUAACUGUCACACCUCCUUUUGGCUCUUUGCACAAUUAACCACUUUUAAUUAAACAAACACAUCAAACCUAAUUUGCAACUUUAAUCUCUUCAUUUGUUUCAACCUAAAAUUAAACUAAUUAACUUAUUUGCAUUAACAAAUUGAUUAACUAAUUGAAACUACAAAUGUGAAAAGAAAGAAGAAUGGCUAAAUGUAUUUUUUAGGACUUUUACUUUAUGAAUGCAACUAACAUGCGACUAGAUGCUAAUGAUGCCACAAAGUAUGAAAUGUUAAUAAGACUAAAUAUUUUUGACCCCUCCCUUUUAUAAUUUUUACGUAUUUCUAAACGCAUGUAAAAUGCAAAAUAAAUGCCAAGCAAAAUCACUUAAAAAUAGAGAAAAUUUUCUAAAAUUUUAUAAAGCAAUUAAGAUUAUUUUUGGUUUGUUUUAGGAGUAAAUUAUACAUGGGGCAAAAUUAUGUGCUCACAGCUGACCCUCUUUGCUCGAGAACAUGAAGAGUUUUCGGGCAAAGAUAAAGUGAGCAAUCAUGAAUAAUUUUUGCCCGUUUGGUACUCCGUAAGAAGCAUUUUGAAAAAGCUUGACCAAACCUUGCUUCCGAGAUUGCCUACAUAUCCUUGGCUAUAAAGGAAUCAGGUCAGUGUAGUUCUGGAAGUUUUGGCAACUGGGACUACCGAAAAGCUGUAAUUAAAAAUAACUAUAAAUUUUCUACACUAUCAGUACAUUUGAUAGUAUAAAAUCCUUUACACUGUCGAAUGUAUGUAAGUUAAAUUUUUUAUUGGAAGUCUGAAAAAGGAGAAGUUUUGUACUCCUUAAUAUACCUGUAUGUACCUGCAACUAUAAAUCCAAGACAUUCUUUCAAGUCACAUUUUGAGAUGAUGAAAGAGUGCAUGAAGUCCAUUCCAGAGAAUACUUUUGGACUUACCUACUAAAUAAUGUGAAAUGUGAAGAGUUCAAUAAUAGCAGAUUUCUCUCUCUCUUCUCUCUUCUGCUGAUUUGCAAAUUGAUGUAGGUUUUCCUUUCUCUGGUUUUAAGUUAUAUACGGUCACUUUCAAGUUUUCUGAGUAAAGUUCUUUCCAGUGAUAUUAGUGAUGAGUUGCUAGCAGUUGAAUAAUAGAGUGGGUGUCUCUGGUCCCUUUCUCCCAAGUAUUAUGGAGUAAGAUUUCCUAAUACCUCUCACAACUAGUUCUUGAAGAUUGACCAAACCAACAUUGUCAACAUUUUUCCACUGAUCAUAAUGAAUUUAUUUAAGUGUCUGUAGACUCUAGAGUUUUCCGCUCUCAAAAAUAAUAGCUUGCAAAAUAUAUAUUUUAUUAAUGUAUAAUAUACAUAUAAUAUACAUCUUUUAUACAUAUAUUUUGCAUAUUUGGCUAGCAAAUGUAAUUAUUAUUGGCCGACCAGCCAAAUGUGUAACUUGCACUAAAUUUAAUGUCUUAAGUUAAUGAAGUUAGUUAUCUUGAAGCAUACUGAACUGUAGUCUUUUGAUUCUGCCAAUGGAGGGGGGUAGUUCAGUCAUGUUAGUACCUGAUCUAAGAACUUGGAGAUGGACCAAAUUGCCUAUGGCAUCAGGUGGGAAUAUAGUAUGUUGGAACUUUUACAUAAAGCAUUAUCUUAAAAUAUGGAUAGGCAACUUAACAGUUGAACAAUUAAAACCACAGAAGAUCCUUUUUUGAGUACAGUGACCAUUUAUUUAAGCCCAUGACAUCCUAAAAAAUGCAUUAUCUUGAUUUAUCUCUAUAAUAUUCUGCAUUUUCAAGAUCAAAGAAAUCAAAUGACAUUUAACUGUAACACACUGGAAUUUUUAUCCAGAGUAAAACAUGAUGGUUCAUCUUCUUAUUAUUUCCUUCUCAAAUAAUAAAUAUGAAUUAAAACUUCUUUACUAAUUCAAACAAGCAGGACAUUCAACAAUCAUAUUCUUGCAUAAUAUAACAAUUGAAGAAUUCCUUUCAGAAACUCGAACCUUAAAUCUCAUGCUUAUUUAUAGUACUUAGUUAUUACAGCAACAAGCUGUAGGCAAAUUGUUUUUGUUUGUUUUCUGAAAACAGGUGUUCUGUUUUCUUUUCUAAACAUGUCUUGUUUUGGAACAAAGAAAUUAAAACUCUCAAAAUACAAAAUCAACAACAAUCCAAACACAAUUCUCUUCAAACCAAUUCCAAAUACUCACAAAAAGAAAACAAAAAAUAAAAUGCUGAAGGUUGGGCAAUCUCUCAUCGAUGCGAAGGUCUUGAAAUGCUUCUGUGCUUGCAAAAAGAUGCCGCAUCUGCCAUUUAAUUUCUCCUGUUUCACCUUAAUUGUGAGAAACAAUUUAGUAAUUAGUAUUCGAGAAAAGGCAAAAAAAAUAUUACCUAAAAAUGACCAUGACAGUAUCAAGUGACGGAAUAAUUGAUCACAAUAGAAAAUGGUUUGCAUCGUCAGUAUAUAUAACUUAAUUCCAACAGAAAUGUUAUGUUGAUAAAAGGUUACAACAGGUUAAACUACAUUAAUAAUAGAAAAUAAUCUUUAUACCGUCAGUAUAUAUAACUUAAUUCCAUUUGUAUGUACCUCUGCUAUUGUGAAAGAGGUCGAAAUUGAUAAGACAUCAUAUAUGCUUGAAAAGCUUCAUCCUAAACUAGUGACUCUGUAAUGUUCACCAAACUCUUGAUCGAUGCCCUUCAACUUCUCCAGGAUAGCGACGUCUUUCAUUCUCUGGGGAAUCUCCUUCAGCUUUGAACAAUCAUGGAUACCAAAACCUUUAAUGCGAGGCAUGGAACUUGUGGAUAAAUGCCAUCUUUCUAGCUUCUGAAGACCAUCAAGACGAAGAAAUUCUAGUUGAUAAAAGCUGUUAUUACUGCAGGUAAUUUCUUUUCCUUCAUAAGCUCCUACUAAAUCAAGAUCCCUUAGAUUUGGCAACAUUCCCAAAAUAGGCAUUGGAUCCUCCAUUAGUUCUGACUUCCAAAGGACCAUCAUUGUGAUGGAAUUUGGAAAAUAGCCCAAGAGAGGAAAUUUUUCUAUUCUCCCCUCUAACCACAAUUUGUCGAGCUUUUGACUAGAAUGAAGAUAUUCAAGGGUUGGGAAUGAUUCAUCAACUUUACAACGCAACAUGAGAGAGCUAAGGUUUUUCAAGCUGCCAAUGUUAUUUAGGGAGUAAGUAUUCACAAUAUCAUACAUGCCUAAUUCUUGAAGAUUGACUAAAUCAACGGGAUCAACAUCUCUCCACUGAUCACAACAACUGUAUUUAAGAACUUGAAGACUUGUGAGUUUGCUAAGUUGCAGAGGUCUUGAAUACAACGCAACUAUAUGUCUUAGAUUUAUUAGGUUAGCUGUUUCCGGGGGUAGUUGGCAUAAGUGUCUAUAGUCAUUCAAGACACGAAGUGUCUGUAAAUUUAUGAGCCGGCCGAUGGAGGAGGGAAGAUCACGGAUACCUCUCAAGCUUNNNNNNNNNNNNNNNNNNNNNNNNNNNNNNNNNNNNNNNNNNNNNNNNNNNNNNNNNNNNNNNNNNNNNNNNNNNNNNNNNNNNNNNNNNNNNNNNNNNNNNNNNNNNNNNNNNNNNNNNNNNNNNNNNNNNNNNNNNNNNNNNNNNNNNNNNNNNNNNNNNNNNNNNNNNNNNNNNNNNNNNNNNNNNNNNNNNNNNNNNNNNNNNNNNNNNNNNNNNNNNNNNNNNNNNNNNNNNNNNNNNNNNNNNNNNNNNNNNNNNNNNNNNNNNNNNNNNNNNNNNNNNNNNNNNNNNNNNNNNNNNNNNNNNNNNNNNNNNNNNNNNNNNNNNNNNNNNNNNNNNNNNNNNNNNNNNNNNNNNNNNNNNNNNNNNNNNNNNNNNNNNNNNNNNNNNGCCCCCUUUUAUGCGAAAGUAGCCCGCUUAAUACAACAAUUGCAAGAGGUAAGCCUCCACACUUGUCCACCAUAUCUCUAGCUAACCUUCCCAUUGCUGGGACCAUUGCCUGAACAUCAAGUAGUUUCCUGCAAAAGAGGUCCCAACUCUCUUCUUCUCUAAGGAAGCGAAGUUUAUAGACAAAACCUUUAUCAUCUGCUCUUUUAGCAACAUCCUCUUUGCGUGUGGUAAUAAUAACUUUGCUGCCAUUCUUGCUAUCUGGGAAGGCUCUUUUUAAACUUUCCCAUGCCUCUUUCUGCCAUACAUCAUCAACCACCAGAAGGUAUUUGCAUUCUUGCAAUAGGCCUCGAAGGUGAAUUUCUAGAUCCGCCUCUGUCAUCUUUUCCAACAAAUCCAGACUUUCCUUUGUACGACCUUGGAUAGAUUUUAUGAUAUUCCUAAGGAGAUCCAUGGUGUUGUACUCUUGAGAAACACAUAUCCAAGUGCGUGUUUGGAAGCUAGAGACUACAGUUGGAGAGUUGUAGAGGUUUCUUGCAAGAGUGGUCUUGCCUAACCCGCCCAUACCAUAAAUGGAGAUGACACUUCGGCGAGGCUCUGCUUUGAGAAGUUCAGCUAGCAAGCUUUCUACAACAUCCCGAAAGCCAACAAAAAUAUGAUCGUCAUCUAUAUAGGAGGUAGUUCUCCUCAAUGUUCUAACCAUGGCGGACUGAUUACUUGUCCCUUCUCCUGCAUUAUUGAUGUCUCUAAUACCAUAUGUCUCCCGUUUGCGAGAGAUAUCCAUGACUCGCUUCUUGAGGGAUUGGAUCUCCUUGCUGAUGUUGUAGAAUUUGGUCUCCUUCCUACAUAUGCAAGCGCAAGCCUUAAGACGACUAGCAAAUCCAUGGUCAUCAGAUUCUUCUGCCAUGGAGAUGUAAGUCUCCAGUAUAGCGACAGCGUCAUUAGCAAUAGAGUUGAUUUCAAAUACCCAUUGUUGAACUCUUUUAUCUUCAUUUUGCUUUUGUUCUGCAUCUUUGAGGAAAGAUUGCAUGAAUAGCAGCUCAUUUCUCAGCCACCGCACAUCCUGUCUCAGACUUAUGCGCAAUGCAACUUCUUGUAUGAGAAAGUCGCCCAGUUUUUCAACUGCAAAUGACACAAAUGCGUCAACCAUCUUCAGGAGUCUUGGUUUUCUCUUUAAUCAGAGCUUGAAAAAGAGGGCUGUAUAGAAGAUAUUGGAAGAAAGCUAUAGAAAGAGAGAUACAAGAUACUGGAAGAGAUUAAGCUGGUUUUCAAUUGAUAUUGUAUUGAAGCUAUUUGAAGAAAGCUGGAGAAUGAUAUAUAUAUAUAUAUAUAUAUAGACAGAAGCAGUAAAGAGAAUAAAUUAACAACAAAAAGAAGGAAAGUUUAUUGUAAGUUUGGUUGCAUAAUCUAGGCAAGAACAAAUACGCGGUGGCCUUUAUUAUUGAGUAGAAGUAUCUUCUUGUCCUAACCAAUCAAAUUUGUUACAAGUUUCUACACCAGUAGGUACUAAAGGUUUGAAUUAGUAAAAGUCUCUGUUUUCAUCUUGAUCAUUACGUAUUAAGUUAAUAUUUGGUGGAGUGCAUCACUAUGUAUUUUGCAUUUUUUUAAGUAUAUUUCGUACCUUUAGUGAAGUAUACCUUCCAUCUUAUAUACUACUAUUAACAACUCUUUACUUGAUACAAGUUGAUUCUUUCUCAACUUCAUCCAACAAAUUAUCAGAAUUUUUAUGAUAUCGCUGGAGCAAGUGGUAAUAGAUAGGAGGCCUUCACAAGUAGGAGUAAGCUCUGGGUACACUCUACCCUCACAAGUAGGAAUAAGGUCCGGGAUUACAAUAGGUUUGUUGUUGUUGUUGUAAGUGGUAAUAGGAGGAGUAACGUGUUUUGGAAACAACAAAAAAAUAUUGUGUUUUAGAAACAACCUUUAUAUGUAUGUCAACACCAAUGGAUGAAAAUGAAAGAAAAAUUAGAGCAACGAAAUUGAACUGCGCCUCAUUAGACAAGGCAAGAGAAUUUCAAAGUUCCUAUUUUCUAAAGGCAUAUUUAUUCUCAAAAGGUAAAGAUAAAGAUAGCAUAACGAUUUUCAAAAGGCAAUGACAAAUACGGCAUAAGGGGGUUUGGAAAAAUGACAUUGUAUAGUCGCUGUAAAAAUAAUAGCCGAAAGAAUGUAUAAAAUUUGUAUAUCUUUUGUAUACAUAUAUAUAUACACAUUUUGUAUGUUAUAUACAAAAACUAUACAAGUUUUAUACACUUUUUUUGCUACAAAAUGUAAAUAGUUUUUGGCCCGGACUAAAGGUGAUAAUACCCUAAGGAUUUUCAAGUUCAGCCCUAUUUUAGCUAACCAAAGACAGCUUUUAUCAUAUUAAUUUCUGUAAUAAUCAACCCUAAAAGGAGAUGAAAUUCCACAAAGUCUACUGUUCAGAGUAACUCUUGUUGGGAUACAUAACUACUCCUAUGAGUUUAGAUAUAGUAUUCGUUAUGAAAUAAUUUUUAUUCAAAUUUAAUAAAGUUUCUUUGCAUUGAAUAGAUCAUAAUUUUGUAUGUGUCCGUAUAUAAAUAUGAUUUGAUGUAUAAAUUUUAGCUUAUACACAUAAGAUCAAAUCAUAAAGUUUAUAUUCAUAAUUUAAGAUGGAGAUUGGACACGCCAUCAGUAUGAUUAUUACACAAGAUUAUAUAUAAUUUAUCUUUGAUUAUGAAAAUAAUAUAAUUUCAACUUCUUGUACUAGUACAUUGUGAACGUAUUGAUUAUGACCAAGUAGAAACAUAUCUCUAGUUUAUGCUCACUCCGUAGAAAAAAAACCAGAGCCCUGAAGAAAAAGAAGAAUCUCUCUUCUUGGUUUAUCUCAACUCCCCCUUUUAUUUGGAUUAUAUUUUAUUUUUUCACAUGUUUCUUAUAGUAGCUUUUGUUGUGUAUUUUUCCUAUCGUGAUCCUUUUUUUUUUUUGCUUAUUAGAUACUCCCUCCAUUUUAAUUUAUGUGAAUUUAUUUGAUUAGACACGAAAUUUAAGAAAUAAAUUUAAAAAUUGUGUGCUAAACAAACUAGUAUAACAUUUGUGUGGCUGUAACUCUUAUGAAACUUGUAGUGUUAAAUAUGUCAGAUUAUUAGUGUAGCUAUAAAAGCUUCUCAUUGAGAGUAAGAUUAGAAGUUUAAGUUAAAUUAUCUACAAAUUUCGAAAAAUAUCAUAUCUUUUUUGGAACAGAUUUUAGUUAGAUAAUAAUCCAGCCGUAAAGUGUAGCGUCUAAUAGAAAUAUAUUCUUGUUCUAAUCAAUCAAAUUUGUUACAAGUUUCUACACCAAUUGAUAUUGUUAUAGACUUUUCCCUUUCCAUGGAAAAUUUAAAUUAAUAAAUUUCUAUGUUUUCUUCUUGAUCAUUACGUAUUAAGUUAGUAUUUGGUGGGGUGCAUAACUCUGUAUUUUUCAAGAUUACGUUAUCACACAAUUUUUCAUUUUUGUAGUGUAUUUCAUAACUUUAGAAAAGUAUACCUUCCAUUAUUACUUACAUCAUAAGUAACGACAAAGACUAAUAAGUUUAUCAUAUUUCUGUAUCAUUUGAGGAUGAAAUUUCACAAAGUCAAUAAAUCGAAUAUUCCGAGUUACUUCUGUGAAACAACCCAAGCAGAUUCUUGUUUCUUCUAAACAUUUUGGUUACAUAGUUAAGGUGUAAUUCUAAUUCAUCAUUUUGUUUGGUUUGCGUAUGUAUAUGCUCAUUUGUCGAACGAUAUAAAUGUAAGGGUUACAUAGGUUUGGUUUGAUUUGGUUUGGUAUUGAGAGAAAAAAUCCGAACCAAACCGACAUAUAAAUAUAUAGUUUUUAUAUAUACUUUUAAGACUUUUUUAGAAUUUUCUUUAAAAAAUGUCUAGAAAUAUUUGCGAUUCUUUUAUGGGAUGUAAUCUUGAGUUAAAUAUGAAGUGCUCUAUUUUUAUUAACUUUAAAUAAUGAGUUGUAUGAUCACUUUCUUAUCAAGUGUUACUGAAAUGCAUCUGUAUUGGGAAAAUCGAGUUUACAUAUUGAAGUGAUUGGAAGAUGACGUGUCAUGACACGAAGGCUGGUCAAAGAGUGAUGAUUGGCAAAGAGGCAUGAGUUGCAAUAGAUACGAGCAGAAGGUACAAGUAGAGGCACGAGCAAUUAUUCAAAAGACUCAACGCUCGUACCUAUUUAUACUCAAAAAUCAAGGAGAAUGAAUCUGACAACAUAAGAGAGUACAGAUACAAUAUUUAAUAAGCAAUAAAUAUUAAAAACAUUAGAGAAUUUGUAUUAAAUUAUAAUGAUUAUGUAACGUAGUAUUUAAUGCCUUUAAUUGUCUAUAAUGACCUAAUUAUAACAAAGGCAAAACGUAUAUCUUUAAGAUAGCUAUAAAAAGGAGAGAAUAGAUCAUUUGUAAGGACACGAAAGAUCAUCUGAAUAUACUGGUUUACUUUGUUUUCUUCUGUCUAUCUUAUUGUUAGCAAAAUCACUUUCUUUAUUCAGUUUUGAUUAUCAGUAACCCGUGUUCUUCUAAAUUAAAGUUUUGACUGAAAUUCCACUUUUUUGGUUAAACAAAUUGGUUCCGUUACCGGGAAUCUGAUAAUUUACUCUUUCUUAGCCUAACCUUUUUGUUGCAUCAACUAUGUCGAACAUCAAUGACAACACCCAAGGAAACCAAGGAAACCAACA